RNAcentral lists this ribosomal RNA (1393 nucleotides) under Salmonella enterica subsp. enterica serovar Paratyphi B. RNAcentral's name for it is "bacterial LSU rRNA". It matches the Rfam family "Bacterial large subunit ribosomal RNA", at positions 1568 to 2925 of the family's 2925-position model. RNAcentral also lists the same sequence under 1 other name. Lineage: Bacteria; Pseudomonadati; Pseudomonadota; Gammaproteobacteria; Enterobacterales; Enterobacteriaceae. The record is from RNAcentral.
GACGAGGCACUACGGUGCUGAAGCAACAAAUGCCCUGCUUCCAGGAAAAGCCUCUAAGCAUCAGGUAACAUCAAAUCGUACCCCAAACCGACACAGGUGGUCAGGUAGAGAAUACCAAGGCGCUUGAGAGAACUCGGGUGAAGGAACUAGGCAAAAUGGUGCCGUAACUUCGGGAGAAGGCACGCUGACACGUAGGUGAAGUGAUUUACUCACGGAGCUGAAGUCAGUCGAAGAUACCAGCUGGCUGCAACUGUUUAUUAAAAACACAGCACUGUGCAAACACGAAAGUGGACGUAUACGGUGUGACGCCUGCCCGGUGCCGGAAGGUUAAUUGAUGGGGUCAGCGCAAGCGAAGCUCCUGAUCGAAGCCCCGGUAAACGGCGGCCGUAACUAUAACGGUCCUAAGGUAGCGAAAUUCCUUGUCGGGUAAGUUCCGACCUGCACGAAUGGCGUAAUGAUGGCCAGGCUGUCUCCACCCGAGACUCAGUGAAAUUGAACUCGCUGUGAAGAUGCAGUGUACCCGCGGCAAGACGGAAAGACCCCGUGAACCUUUACUAUAGCUUGACACUGAACAUUGAGCCUUGAUGUGUAGGAUAGGUGGGAGGCUUUGAAGUGUGGACGCCAGUCUGCAUGGAGCCGACCUUGAAAUACCACCCUUUAAUGUUUGAUGUUCUAACGUGGACCCGUUACCCGGGUUGCGGACAGUGUCUGGUGGGUAGUUUGACUGGGGCGGUCUCCUCCUAAAGAGUAACGGAGGAGCACGAAGGUUGGCUAAUCCUGGUCGGACAUCAGGAGGUUAGUGCAAUGGCAUAAGCCAGCUUGACUGCGAGCGUGACGGCGCGAGCAGGUGCGAAAGCAGGUCAUAGUGAUCCGGUGGUUCUGAAUGGAAGGGCCAUCGCUCAACGGAUAAAAGGUACUCCGGGGAUAACAGGCUGAUACCGCCCAAGAGUUCAUAUCGACGGCGGUGUUUGGCACCUCGAUGUCGGCUCAUCACAUCCUGGGGCUGAAGUAGGUCCCAAGGGUAUGGCUGUUCGCCAUUUAAAGUGGUACGCGAGCUGGGUUUAGAACGUCGUGAGACAGUUCGGUCCCUAUCUGCCGUGGGCGCUGGAGAACUGAGGGGGGCUGCUCCUAGUACGAGAGGACCGGAGUGGACGCAUCACUGGUGUUCGGGUUGUCAUGCCAAUGGCACUGCCCGGUAGCUAAAUGCGGAAGAGAUAAGUGCUGAAAGCAUCUAAGCACGAAACUUGCCCCGAGAUGAGUUCUCCCUGAGACUUAGAGUCUCCUGAAGGAACGUUGAAGACGACGACGUUGAUAGGCCGGGUGUGUAAGCGCAGCGAUGCGUUGAGCUAACCGGUACUAAUGAACCGUGAGGCUUAACCUUACAACGCCGAAG